Molecule: ribosomal RNA, 1467 nt
Filed under: uncultured bacterium
Lineage: Bacteria
Description: 16S ribosomal RNA
Rfam family: Bacterial small subunit ribosomal RNA
Source: RNAcentral
GACGAACGCUGGCGGCGUGCUUAACACAUGCAAGUCGAACGGAAAGGCCCUGCUUUUGUGGGGUGCUCGAGUGGCGAACGGGUGAGUAACACGUGAGUAACCUGCCCUUGACUUUGGGAUAACUUCAGGAAACUGGGGCUAAUACCGGAUAGGAGCUCCUGCUGCAUGGUGGGGGUUGGAAAGUUUCGGCGGUUGGGGAUGGACUCGCGGCUUAUCAGCUUGUUGGUGGGGUAGUGGCUUACCAAGGCUUUGACGGGUAGCCGGCCUGAGAGGGUGACCGGCCACAUUGGGACUGAGAUACGGCCCAGACUCCUACGGGAGGCAGCAGUGGGGAAUAUUGCACAAUGGGCGGAAGCCUGAUGCAGCAACGCCGCGUGCGGGAUGACGGCCUUCGGGUUGUAAACCGCUUUCGCCUGUGACGAAGCGUGAGUGACGGUAAUGGGUAAAGAAGCACCGGCUAACUACGUGCCAGCAGCCGCGGUGAUACGUAGGGUGCGAGCGUUGUCCGGAUUUAUUGGGCGUAAAGGGCUCGUAGGUGGUUGAUCGCGUCGGAAGUGUAAUCUUGGGGCUUAACCCUGAGCGUGCUUUCGAUACGGGUUGACUUGAGGAAGGUAGGGGAGAAUGGAAUUCCUGGUGGAGCGGUGGAAUGCGCAGAUAUCAGGAGGAACACCAGUGGCGAAGGCGGUUCUCUGGGCCUUUCCUGACGCUGAGGAGCGAAAGCGUGGGGAGCGAACAGGCUUAGAUACCCUGGUAGUCCACGCUGUAAACGGUGGGUACUAGGUGUGGGGUCCAUUCCACGGGUUCCGUGCCGUAGCUAACGCUUUAAGUACCCCGCUGGGGAGUACGGCCGCAAGGCUAAAACUCAAAGGAAUUGACGGGGCUCCGCACAAGCGGCGGAGCAUGCGGAUUAAUUCGAUGCAACGCGUAGAACCUUACCUGGGUUUGACAUGGAUCGGGAGUGCUCAGAGAUGGGUGUGCCUCUUUUGGGGUCGGUUCACAGGUGGUGCAUGGCUGUCGUCAGCUCGAGUCGUGAGAUGUUGGGUUAAGUCCCGCAACGAGCGCAACCCUUGUUCACUGUUGCCAGCACGUUAUGGUGGGGACUCAGUGGAGACCGCCGGGGUCAACUCGGAGGAAGGUGGGGAAGACGUCAAGUCAUCAUGCCCCUUAUGUUCAGGGCUUCACGCAUGCUACAAUGGCUGGUACAGAGAGUGGCGAGCCUGUGAGGGUGAGCGAAUCUCGGAAAGCCGGUCUCAGUUCGGAUUGGGGUCUGCAACUCGACCUCAUGAAGUCGGAGUCGAUAGUAAUCGCAGAUCAGCAACGCUGCGGUGAAUACGUUCCCGGGGCUUGUACACACCGCCCGUCAAGUCAUGAAAGUUGGUAACACCCGAAGCCGGUGGCCUAACCGAUGUGGGGGAGCCGUCGAAGGUGGGACUGGUGAUUAGGACUAAGUCGUAACAAGGUAGCCGU